UGCAGGAGUGAGCCUGCUCGCGAUGGCGGUGGGUCAGUCUGGAAAUUCAAUGCCUGACAGGACGCCUUCGCGAGCAGGCUCGCUCCCACA
This 90-nucleotide unclassified non-coding RNA is filed under the name Pseudomonas sp. B10. The record is from RNAcentral. Lineage: Bacteria; Pseudomonadati; Pseudomonadota; Gammaproteobacteria; Pseudomonadales; Pseudomonadaceae.